GAACCUUCGGGGAACGAUAACGGCGUCGAGCGGCGGACGGGUGAGUAAUGCCUAGGAAAUUGCCCUGAUGUGGGGGAUAACCAUUGGAAACGAUGGCUAAUACCGCAUGAUGCCUACGGGCCAAAGAGGGGGACCUUCGGGCCUCUCGCGUCAGGAUAUGCCUAGGUGGGAUUAGCUAGUUGGUGAGGUAAGGGCUCACCAAGGCGACGAUCCCUAGCUGGUCUGAGAGGAUGAUCAGCCACACUGGAACUGAGACACGGUCCAGACUCCUACGGGAGGCAGCAGUGGGGAAUAUUGCACAAUGGGCGCAAGCCUGAUGCAGCCAUGCCGCGUGUAUGAAGAAGGCCUUCGGGUUGUAAAGUACUUUCAGUCGUGAGGAAGGUUCAUGCGUUAAUAGCGUAUGGAUUUGACGUUAGCGACAGAAGAAGCACCGGCUAACUCCGUGCCAGCAGCCGCGGUAAUACGGAGGGUGCGAGCGUUAAUCGGAAUUACUGGGCGUAAAGCGCAUGCAGGUGGUUUGUUAAGUCAGAUGUGAAAGCCCGGGGCUCAACCUCGGAAUAGCAUUUGAAACUGGCAGACUAGAGUACUGUAGAGGGGGGUAGAAUUUCAGGUGUAGCGGUGAAAUGCGUAGAGAUCUGAAGGAAUACCGGUGGCGAAGGCG
RNAcentral lists this ribosomal RNA (661 nucleotides) under Allocatenococcus thiocycli. Its description in RNAcentral is "bacterial SSU rRNA". It matches the Rfam family "Bacterial small subunit ribosomal RNA", at positions 69 to 723 of the family's 1533-position model. The record is from RNAcentral. Lineage: Bacteria; Pseudomonadati; Pseudomonadota; Gammaproteobacteria; Vibrionales; Vibrionaceae.